RNAcentral lists this unclassified non-coding RNA (125 nucleotides) under Enterobacter cancerogenus. RNAcentral describes it as "IS061". Lineage: Bacteria; Pseudomonadati; Pseudomonadota; Gammaproteobacteria; Enterobacterales; Enterobacteriaceae. The record is from RNAcentral.
AAAAUAAGUAAAAAAACAGAGCCUGUCCGACAUCAGACAGACCCUAUAGUACACACAGCAGUGCGUCCAUUCGCAAGUCCCGCAUGUUUUAUUCCUUCGGCAGGUCUGAUCAGUUAUAACAGUUU